CCUACGGGAGGCUGCAGUCGAGAAUCAUUCACAAUGGGGGAAACCCUGAUGGUGCGACGCCGCGUGGGGGAAUGAAGGUCUUCGGAUUGUAAACCCCUGUCAUGUGGGAGCAAAUUAAAAAGAUAGUACCACAAGAGGAAGAGACGGCUAACUCUGUGCCAGCAGCCGCGGUAAUACAGAGGUCUCAAGCGUUGUUCGGAAUCACUGGGCGUAAGGCGUGCGUAGGCUGUUUCGUAAGUCGUGUGUGAAAGGCGCGGGCUCAACCCGCGGACGGCACAUGAUACUGCGAGACUAGAGUAAUGGAGGGGGAAGCGGAAUUCUCGGUGUAGCAGUGAAAUGCGUAGAUAUCGAGAGGAACACUCGUGGCGAAGGCGGGUUCCUGGACAUUAACUGACGCUGAGGCACGAAGGCCAGGGGAGCGAAAGGGAUUAGAUACCCGAGUAGUC
RNAcentral lists this ribosomal RNA (446 nucleotides) under uncultured bacterium. RNAcentral's name for it is "partial 16S ribosomal RNA". It matches the Rfam family "Bacterial small subunit ribosomal RNA", at positions 338 to 795 of the family's 1533-position model. The record is from RNAcentral.